GAAAAGACCCCCAGGAUUCGCCGUUUCUCUAAAAAGAAGAUCGAAGGAAAAUCAGCCAUCUUCUUUCAUUUUGAGAAGAGAUCAGCCAAAAAAAGGAGCUAACCUAAGAGAAGAGACUAACGCCUCAGACUUAGGCAAAAAGAGGCAGCAGCUUCUUCUUCAAACAAAAAAUGCAGAACCAAAGAUCGUGAAUAAUUCAACCCCAUUCUUCGACAUCACCCAUCUCUUAGCCGUUUCAGUUGUGAAAAGUCAUAGCUUUAACCCCAAAAUCCAACUGCAAAUAGGCUUAAAAUUAGUCCCUAAUCUCUCGCCAAAACUCCAAAAGAUUAGUGUAAAUCAGCCUGCACCACCAUGCCAACAAUUUCUUCUUCCAGCAGGGUUCAAAUGGUAUUUCGAGAGGUCUUGUUCGAAGUUCGUCGUCGUGAGUUCCGAGCGAGGUGUUUUUCCAUGGUCUUGUUUAUUUUCUCUUGUCAAAAUUAUUGAUUAAUCAAGGUUCAGAUUCAAUUUCAAGGCUGGCGUGACUCCUCCUUCUUUUAGUGUCAUACCUUGAAAUAAGAAAGAGGCUCGGACAAGUUACAAAUCCAGAUGGCCUUUUGGUUCCCGAAGGUUGAGGUGGUCGGUUUGUAGUAAGCUGGAAACUCAAGUUCCAAGGAAAAAUGAUAACUGACAUCGAAGCUGUUACAAGUGCUCAAGAGACUCGGGGUCAGAGGGUUCAACAAGAGUCUACUGUGUUU
This is a long non-coding RNA of Nicotiana tabacum (common tobacco), 734 nucleotides long. RefSeq lists it as uncharacterized. The record is from RefSeq and is a predicted model, not a curated record. NCBI's taxonomy places the organism in Eukaryota, Viridiplantae, Streptophyta, Magnoliopsida, Solanales, Solanaceae.